RNAcentral lists this ribosomal RNA (459 nucleotides) under uncultured bacterium. RNAcentral's name for it is "partial 16S ribosomal RNA". It matches the Rfam family "Bacterial small subunit ribosomal RNA", at positions 338 to 795 of the family's 1533-position model. The record is from RNAcentral.
CCUACGGGUGGCAGCAGUGAGGAAUAUUGGUCAAUGGUCGCGAGCCUGAACCAGCCAAGUCGCGUGACGGAAGACGGCCCUAUGGAUUGUAAACUUCUUUUGUCGGGGAGCAAAAUGCGCCACGCGUGGCGUUCUGAGAGUACCCGAAGAAAAAGCAACGGCUAACUCCGUUCCAGCCGCCGCGGUAAUACGGGGGAUGCGAGCGUUAUCGGGAUUUAUUGGGUUUAAAGUGAGCGAAGGCCGAGGUUCAAGUCGGCGGUAAAAUUGAGUGUCUAAACCUCGUAGUGCCGCUGAAACUGGUUAGCGUGAGUGAGCGAGAGGUAUGCGGAAUGCGUGGUGUAGCGGUGAAAUGCAUAGAUAUCACGAAGAACUCCGAUUGCGAAGGCAGCAUACGGGAGAGCAACUGACGCUCAUGCACGAAAGCGUGGGUAUCGAACAGGAUUAGAUACCCGUGUAGUC